This 380-nucleotide transfer-messenger RNA is filed under the name Treponemataceae bacterium. It matches the Rfam family "transfer-messenger RNA". Rfam says of the family: Bacterial tmRNA, also known as 10Sa RNA or SsrA, is named for its dual tRNA and mRNA-like properties. The record is from RNAcentral. Lineage: Bacteria; Pseudomonadati; Spirochaetota; Spirochaetia; Treponematales; Treponemataceae.
GGGGGUGCACCGGUUUCGACGGUUGCGAGAAAUCCUGUGUUGCAGGCGGGAGUGAAGGAUCCCUAAUCUGACAAAAACUAUAACUGCCAAACGUAAGGAAGACGAAGAGUCUUACAACGAACAGUUAGCUCUCGCUGCGUAAGUAGCGACUUAAAGAGCCGGAAUCCAAAUUGCGCCGCUCUUAGCGAUUUGGAAUUCUGUUACAAACAGGGGCUUGCUUGCCGUCGUUUUUGGCUGGCGGCUGGGACUUUUAGUCAAAAUACGGAAAAGACGCUUGUCAUGCUGCUACCUUUUCCCGACAACCACCUCGCAUGACUACGCCUGUAGACGCGCUUGGUUUGCGCAUUCGGACGGGGGUUCGAUUCCCCCCAUCUCCAUCA